This 486-nucleotide ribosomal RNA is filed under the name uncultured bacterium. Its description in RNAcentral is "partial 16S ribosomal RNA". It matches the Rfam family "Bacterial small subunit ribosomal RNA", at positions 28 to 507 of the family's 1533-position model. The record is from RNAcentral.
AUUGAACGCUGGCGGCAUGCCUUACACAUGCAAGUCGAACGGCAGCACGGGUGCUUGCCCCUGGUGGCGAGUGGCGAACGGGUGAGUAAUACAUCGGUACCUGUCCUUUACUGGGGGAUAGCCCGCCGAAAGCCGGAUUUAUCCCGCAUACGAACCACGUCCUACAGCGGGGGGCCUUCCGGCCUCCCGCUAUUGGGUUGGCCCAACGUGGAUAACCUAGUUGGCGGGGUGAGGGCCUCCCAAGGCGGCGUCCGGCACCUGGUCGGAGAGGACGACCAGCGACACGAGGGGUGAAACAGGGCACAAGCUACUAAGGGAGGCAGCAGUGGGGAAUUUUGGGCAGUGGGCGAGAGCCUAAUCCAGCGAUGCCGCGUGUGUGAAGGAGGCGUUGGGGUUGUAAAGCAGUUUUGUCCGGAAAGAAAUCCUUGGCUCUAGUACGGACGGGGGAUGACGGUACCGGGAAAAUAAGCACCGGCUAACUACGUG